Molecule: ribosomal RNA, 557 nt
Filed under: fungal sp. Art20
Lineage: Eukaryota; Fungi
Description: eukaryotic LSU rRNA
Rfam family: 5.8S ribosomal RNA (bases 181-334)
Source: RNAcentral
UGCGGAGGGAUCAUUUCCAAAUAUGAAGGCGGGCUGGAUCCUCUCGGGGUUACAGCCUUGCUGAAUUAUUCACCCUUGUCUUUUGCGUACUUCUUGUUUCCUUGGUGGGUUCGCCCACCACUAGGACAAACAUAAACCUUUUGUAAUUGCAAUCAGCGUCAGUAACAAAUUAAUAAUUACAACUUUCAACAACGGAUCUCUUGGUUCUGGCAUCGAUGAAGAACGCAGCGAAAUGCGAUAAGUAGUGUGAAUUGCAGAAUUCAGUGAAUCAUCGAAUCUUUGAACGCACAUUGCGCCCUUUGGUAUUCCAAAGGGCAUGCCUGUUCGAGCGUCAUUUGCACCCUCAAGCUUUGCUUGGUGUUGGGCGUCUUGUCUCUAGCUUUGCUGGAGACUCGCCUUAAAGUAAUUGGCAGCCGGCCUACUGGUUUCGGAGCGCAGCACAAGUCGCACUCUCUAUCAGCAAAGGUCUAGCAUCCAUUAAGCCUUUUUUCAACUUUUGACCUCGGAUCAGGGAGGGGAUACCCGCUGAACUUAACAUAUCAUGAAGCGGGAGGAAA